Molecule: ribosomal RNA, 465 nt
Filed under: uncultured bacterium
Lineage: Bacteria
Description: bacterial SSU rRNA
Rfam family: Bacterial small subunit ribosomal RNA
Source: RNAcentral
CUCCAGACUCCUACGGGAGGCAGCAGUGAGGAAUAUUGGUCAAUGGACGCAAGUCUGAACCAGCCAUGCCGCGUGCAGGAAGACGGCUCUAUGAGUUGUAAACUGCUUUUGUACGAGGGUAAACGCAGAUACGUGUAUCUGUCUGAAAGUAUCGUACGAAUAAGGAUCGGCUAACUCCGUGCCAGCAGCCGCGGUAAUACGGAGGAUUCAAGCGUUAUCCGGAUUUAUUGGGUUUAAAGGGUGCGCAGGCGGGAGAUCAAGUCAGCGGUAAAAUGUCGGGGCUCAACCCCGGCCGGCCGUUGAAACUGGUUUUCUAGAGUUGGAGAGGAGUAUGCGGAAUUCGUGGUGUAGCGGUGAAAUGCAUAGAUAUCACGAAGAACUCCGAUUGCGAAGGCAGCAUACCGGCUCCAUACUGACGCUGAGGCACGAAAGCGUGGGGAUCGAACAGGAUUAGAUACCCCGGUA